GGGCCGGUAGCUCAGUUGGUAGAGCAGGGGACUUUUAAUCCCGAGGUCGCAGGUUCGAGUCCUGCCCGGCCCA
This 73-nucleotide transfer RNA is filed under the name Actinomycetota bacterium. Its description in RNAcentral is "tRNA-Lys". It matches the Rfam family "tRNA". Rfam says of the family: Transfer RNA (tRNA) molecules are approximately 80 nucleotides in length. The record is from RNAcentral. Lineage: Bacteria; Bacillati; Actinomycetota.